GAUGAACGCUGGCGGCAUGCCUAACACAUGCAAGUCGGACGGGAAGUGGUGGUUCUAGUGGCGGUCGGGUUAGUAACGCGUAAGAACCUGCCCCUGGGAGGGCCACAACAGCUGGAAACGGCAGCUAAUACACCGCAGGCCGAGUAGCAAAAGGUGGAAUCCGCCUGAGGGGGGACUCGCGUCUGAUUGGCUAGCUGGCGAGGCAAUAGCUUACCAAGGCGAUGGUCAGUAGAUGGUGCGAGAGGAUGACCGGCCACACUGGGACGGAGACACGGCGUAGGCUCCUACGGGAGGCAGGAGAGGGGAAUACUCCGCAAUGGGCGAUAGGCUGAGGGAGCAUUGCCGCGUGGAGGUAGAGGGACUAGGGAUCGUGAACUGCUUAUCCAGGAGAAGAAGCAAUGACGGUAUCUGGGGAAUAAGCAUCGGCUAACUCUGUG
RNAcentral lists this ribosomal RNA (437 nucleotides) under uncultured bacterium. RNAcentral describes it as "partial 16S ribosomal RNA". It matches the Rfam family "Bacterial small subunit ribosomal RNA", at positions 28 to 507 of the family's 1533-position model. The record is from RNAcentral.